Molecule: ribosomal RNA, 166 nt
Filed under: Mycena sp.
Lineage: Eukaryota; Fungi; Basidiomycota; Agaricomycetes; Agaricales; Mycenaceae
Description: partial large subunit ribosomal RNA
Source: RNAcentral
AAACGCUUGAAGUCAGUCGCGUUGUGCGGGAUUCAGCCUGGCUUUUGCUUGGUUUACUUCCUGUAUGACGGGUCAGCAUCAAUUUUGAGCGGUGGAUAAGGGCGUAGGGAAUGUGGCAUCUUCGGAUGUGUUAUAGCCUUGCGUCGUAUACAUCGCUUGGGAUUGA